UGUGCAAGGACAGUGUUUAAAAAGCUGCAACGUAAUCAACCAAACCUGAGCUACCGUGCAACAGUCUAAACUUUGUUCACUCUGUCCUGGGUUCUGCGGGAGUGCUGAAGUUUAUUAAUAUAACAAAUACCUUCAAUGUGGUCUUGUACUUCUGACAGCUGGUUUGCGACGCACAGAUAAUACCGCAUAGCUUUAAACAGUCUCUUCAUAACUUCGGGGACGACAUUUGUCCAAGUAACAAUCGGAAUUUUAAAAUGAUUGCAUGUACAUCGUGCCUCGUCCUUUUGGUGACAGGCGUUGAUGACAUUGGUGCUGCUGUCGUUGCCAUGCUGCAAGCUGCCAAACAUCUAGCCAGGUUCGGGUGAGACUUCAUCGUGAUCUUCGUCGCCUUUGAUUUUGAAGAAUGGGAGGAAAAUGGUCCCAGGUAGUGUGAGCAGCCAUAACUCUAACGGCAAAAAAGGGAGAUUGGUCGGCCCUACGACUCUGACGUCCUUGACGCCUUCGUCACUUCUUACACCACCUUGGGUCCACCUGAGUUCGAGAUUGAGAAGGUUUACAUCACCGUUCUCAGUGGCCCGACAGUAACACAGCAGCAAUGCAUGAUCUUCCAUGAACUAACGAGGAGUGAUCAUUAUCCUUUCUGAUUAAAUGGUUUGAGGGCAAUCUUCCUAACGGACACAGCCAACUUCCGAGGGUAUAUGCAAGCCUGCUACCAUCACUCCUGUGACACUUUUAGCCGAUUUUCAGACAAGAUGCUUCCGUUUUUCGGGAAGACUUCCCAAGCUCUGAUUGGUUCUGUCCACAUAUUGGCGCCAU
Haliotis rufescens (red abalone) is the source of this 816-nucleotide long non-coding RNA. RefSeq lists it as uncharacterized. NCBI's taxonomy places the organism in Eukaryota, Metazoa, Mollusca, Gastropoda, Lepetellida, Haliotidae. The transcript has 4 exons. The record is from RefSeq and is a predicted model, not a curated record.